This 874-nucleotide ribosomal RNA is filed under the name Acinetobacter baumannii. Its description in RNAcentral is "partial 23S ribosomal RNA". It matches the Rfam family "Bacterial large subunit ribosomal RNA", at positions 298 to 1186 of the family's 2925-position model. The record is from RNAcentral. Lineage: Bacteria; Pseudomonadati; Pseudomonadota; Gammaproteobacteria; Moraxellales; Moraxellaceae.
AUCAGCCCAUUAAGUUAUGUGUGUUUUAGUGGAACGCUCUGGGAAGUGCGAACGUAGAGGGUGAUAUUCCCGUACACGAAAGGGCACACAUAAUGAUGACGAGUAGGGCGAGGCACGUGAAACCUUGUCUGAAUAUGGGGGGACCAUCCUCCAAGGCUAAAUACUCCUGACUGACCGAUAGUGAACCAGUACCGUGAGGGAAAGGCGAAAAGAACCCCUGUGAGGGGAGUGAAAUAGAUCCUGAAACCGCAUGCAUACAAGCAGUGGGAGCACCUUCGUGGUGUGACUGCGUACCUUUUGUAUAAUGGGUCAGCGACUUAUAUUCAGUAGCGAGGUUAACCGUAUAGGGGAGCCGUAGAGAAAUCGAGUCUUAAUAGGGCGUUUAGUUGCUGGGUAUAGACCCGAAACCAGGCGAUCUAUCCAUGAGCAGGUUGAAGGUUGGGUAACACUAACUGGAGGACCGAACCCACUGUCGUUGAAAAGCCAGGGGAUGACUUGUGGAUAGGGGUGAAAGGCUAAUCAAGCCUGGUGAUAGCUGGUUCUCCCCGAAAGCUAUUUAGGUAGCGCCUCGGACGAAUACCAUAGGGGGUAGAGCACUGUUUCGGCUAGGGGGUCAUCCCGACUUACCAAACCGAUGCAAACUCCGAAUACCUAUGAGUACUAUCCGGGAGACAGACUGCGGGUGCUAACGUCCGUAGUCAAGAGGAAAACAAUCCAGACCGCCAGCUAAGGCCCCAAAAUCAUAGUUAAGUGGGAAACGAUGUGGGAAGGCAUAGACAGCUAGGAGGUUGGCUUAGAAGCAGCCACCCUUUAAAGAAAGCGUAAUAGCUCACUAGUCGAGUCGGCCUGCGCGGAAGAUGUAACGGGGCUAAAA